AGUGAACGCUGGCGGUAGGCCUAACACAUGCAAGUCGAACGGCAGCACAGUAAGAGCUUGCUCUUACGGGUGGCGAGUGGCGGACGGGUGAGGCAUACAUCGGAAUCUACUUUUUCGUGGGGGAUAACGUAGGGAAACUUACGCUAAUACCGCAUACGACCUACGGGUGAAAGCAGGGGAUCUUCGGACCUUGCGCGAUUGAAUGAGCCGAUGUCGGAUUAGCUAGUUGGCGGGGUAAAGGCCCACCAAGGCGACGAUCCGUAGCUGGUCUGAGAGGAUGAUCAGCCACACUGGAACUGAGACACGGUCCAGACUCCUACGGGAGGCAGCAGUGGGGAAUAUUGGACAAUGGGCGCAAGCCUGAUCCAGCCAUACCGCGUGGGUGAAGAAGGCCUUCGGGUUGUAAAGCCCUUUUGUUGGGAAAGAAAAGCAGCAGAUUAAUACCCCGCUGUUCUGACGGUACCCAAAGAAUAAGCACCGGCUAACUUCGUG
RNAcentral lists this ribosomal RNA (492 nucleotides) under uncultured bacterium. Its description in RNAcentral is "partial 16S ribosomal RNA". It matches the Rfam family "Bacterial small subunit ribosomal RNA", at positions 29 to 507 of the family's 1533-position model. The record is from RNAcentral.